Molecule: long non-coding RNA, 1154 nt
Organism: Hippopotamus amphibius kiboko
Lineage: Eukaryota; Metazoa; Chordata; Mammalia; Artiodactyla; Hippopotamidae
Exons: 3
Source: RefSeq, a predicted model, not a curated record
GGGCUGACCAGCCCCACUAAGGAGAAGGGCAUCCACAAGUCUGGGACAGAAGGGAGGACUCACCUUACAAUGUGGAGCCCAGAAGUGGGCUGGUGACCCUGCCGUACACAAUGUGAGUCACCAGAAACAAUGCAGGAGGAGAGAGUGGACUCCACAAGACCAUGACUUCCUACCAGUGCUGAGUGCAGGUUCCCAGAAGGCACAGAAACCCUGUCUUGGUCGCAUGGGCUGCCCUGGCCAUGGGGAAGGAGCAUCAGAGAUGGGAAAUCCCAAAGCUCUGUUGAUGGCCUUCCACGGACCGAAGAAGAAUCUGAGAGUCAUCUUGGACCCUCUGCUUCCUCCUCCCUCCCUCCAUCCAUCUAGCUUUUCAUCAAGUUCUACUGAUUUUACCACAUACUUCCCUAAUCUCCCUCCUCCUUUCUGCAAGACUGAGAAAAUAGCGGUACCUACCUUGUUGGGUGGAGAUGAGGAUAAAAUGCCUUACAAAAGGGACCAAGGCAUUUAAUAAGUUAGCGAAUCUUAUUAGUAAAAGCCUGGAAUCCACCUAUGGACAAUGAAAGACUGAACUCUUCUAGCCAGAGAAAAGGUAGACACACUGCUAAGCACCAGGGUUUCCAAAUUAGCCAUUGAGUUCCAAUGGGAAAGAAAAAUGCAGAGAAAAUGGUCUGUGCUGUGUGUUUUUGGUGGAGGUGGCAAGGGGGUGUAGAAUGGGGAGUGGGGAGCAGACAGAUUGGGAAAAGAGCCAGAGAUUUGCAAGUCCAAAGGUAACAGAGAUGUGUGUCUUAGAACUUUCAGGACCUAGGGUGGGCCAUGGCGAUGUGAAUUCUGGGGGAAGCUGGACCCUCAAAACCCUGAUUUUGGGGUUCCAUGGCAAGAUUUGCAGAGAGGGUAGAAGAUCACCAUGAGGGACAGACAUUGCUGUGGGAGAUGGGACCAGCGCAGGCCAGACCACACCAUACCUGGAUUUCUUCACAAGUUCUAAACCAGACAAUUGACUGAGAAAGACUUUCUUAUCUACCUUUGCUAGAAGGAGCUCAAAUGGUCAUGAUUUGCUUUAGAAAAAUAAAGAAAGGUAAACCCUUCUCACCCUUCAGUGCUGAGGAAGAAUAUAUUACUUGCGUGUUUCUACUGUGACAAUAAAAUUCAUUUUACAA